RNAcentral lists this long non-coding RNA (384 nucleotides) under Coccomyxa subellipsoidea. RNAcentral describes it as "long non-coding RNA (CSUB_LNC000013)". The record is from RNAcentral. Lineage: Eukaryota; Viridiplantae; Chlorophyta; Trebouxiophyceae; Coccomyxaceae.
GGCACGCGAUCCUGCCUCGCUUGGGUGACUUUGGGCCGUCUUUUUCAGCCCUACGUUUCCUUUUCAUCGGAUCGAAAUGUCGCACUGCUACAGGAGGCACUACAUGGCUUUUUGCUUGACUGCUCCGGUAAUGAGAUCUCCCCAAAAUUUCCAAUGUCAACGCUGGUGAACGGGCAGAACGCAAUAUUUAAAGUGAUUUAAUGUCAGAAAUGAAGAAAUAAUCAUCUGAAAAGGUGAUCGUGACAUAGCAAUUGUCCGCUACACCAUCCGAAAUCUGGGAUCUGCUGUGAAAGAAAGUGGCUGCGAGGUUCGCAGCUGGCACAAAAUUGUCUCCAUUUAGUCUGUCACUUCUCACUGUGAGAUGACAUGCGAAGUACCCAAUGC